AAGCAUCGGGCGGCCCGGUCUCACCUACGAGCCUGUGCAGAAGCUUGGCGAGGGCGCCUUUGGCGUUGCGCACCUGGUCGUCGACAAAAGGUCCGGCCAGCACCGUGUGCUCAAGACCAUCAAUAAGCGCCUGUCCCAGGUCCCGCCGACGCUCAUGGAGCGGGAGAUCAAAAACCUGAAGGCCUGCGAUCACCCGCACAUCAU
RNAcentral lists this non-coding RNA (204 nucleotides) under Alexandrium monilatum. The record is from RNAcentral. Lineage: Eukaryota; Dinophyceae; Gonyaulacales; Pyrocystaceae.